Molecule: ribosomal RNA, 1499 nt
Filed under: metagenome
Description: bacterial SSU rRNA
Rfam family: Bacterial small subunit ribosomal RNA
Source: RNAcentral
AGAGUUUGAUCAUGGCUCAGAUUGAACGCUGGCGGCAGGCCUAACACAUGCAAGUCGAACGGUAACAGGAAGCAGCUUGCUGCUUCGCUGACGAGUGGCGGACGGGUGAGUAAUGUCUGGGAAGCUGCCUGAUGGAGGGGGAUAACUACUGGAAACGGUAGCUAAUACCGCAUAAUGUCGCAAGACCAAAGAGGGGGACCUUCGGGCCUCUUGCCAUCGGAUGUGCCCAGAUGGGAUUAGCUUGUUGGUGGGGUAACGGCUCACCAAGGCGACGAUCCCUAGCUGGUCUGAGAGGAUGACCAGCCACACUGGAACUGAGACACGGUCCAGACUCCUACGGGAGGCAGCAGUGGGGAAUAUUGCACAAUGGGCGCAAGCCUGAUGCAGCCAUGCCGCGUGUAUGAAGAAGGCCUUCGGGUUGUAAAGUACUUUCAGCGGGGAGGAAGGGAGUAAAGUUAAUACCUUUGCUCAUUGACGUUACCCGCAGAAGAAGCACCGGCUAACUCCGUGCCAGCAGCCGCGGUAAUACGGAGGGUGCAAGCGUUAAUCGGAAUUACUGGGCGUAAAGCGCACGCAGGCGGUUGUUAAGUCAGAUGUGAAAUCCCCGGGCUCAACCUGGGAACUGCAUCUGAUACUGGCAAGCUUGAGUCUCGUAGAGGGGGGUAGAAUUCCAGGUGUAGCGGUGAAAUGCGUAGAGAUCUGGAGGAAUACCGGUGGCGAAGGCGGCCCCCUGGACGAAGACUGACGCUCAGGUGCGAAAGCGUGGGGAGCAAACAGGAUUAGAUACCCUGGUAGUCCACGCCGUAAACGAUGUCGACUUGGAGGUUGUGCCCUUGAGGCGUGGCUUCCGGAGCUAACGCGUUAAGUCGACCGCCUGGGGAGUACGGCCGCAAGGUUAAAACUCAAAUGAAUUGACGGGGGCCCGCACAAGCGGUGGAGCAUGUGGUUUAAUUCGAUGCAACGCGAAGAACCUUACCUGGUCUUGACAUCCACGGAAGUUUUCAGAGAUGAGAAUGUGCCUUCGGGAACCGUGAGACAGGUGCUGCAUGGCUGUCGUCAGCUCGUGUUGUGAAAUGUUGGGUUAAGUCCCGCAACGAGCGCAACCCUUAUCCUUUGUUGCCAGCGGUCCGGCCGGGAACUCAAAGGAGACUGCCAGUGAUAAACUGGAGGAAGGUGGGGAUGACGUCAAGUCAUCAUGGCCCUUACGACCAGGGCUACACACGUGCUACAAUGGCGCAUACAAAGAGAAGCGACCUCGCGAGAGCAAGCGGACCUCAUAAAGUGCGUCGUAGUCCGGAUUGGAGUCUGCAACUCGACUCCAUGAAGUCGGAAUCGCUAGUAAUCGUGGAUCAGAAUGCCACGGUGAAUACGUUCCCGGGCCUUGUACACACCGCCCGUCACACCAUGGGAGUGGGUUGCAAAAGAAGUAGGUAGCUUAACCUUCGGGAGGGCGCUUACCACUUUGUGAUUCAUGACUGGGGUGAAGUCGUAACAAGGUA